CCUACGGGAGGCAGCAGUGAGGAAUAUUGGUCAAUGGCCGAGAGGCUGAACCAGCCAAGUCGCGUGAGGGAAGAAUGUCCUAUGGAUUGUAAACCUCUUUUGUCAGGGAGCAAAGUAACCCACGUGUGGGAGUUGGAGAGUACCUGAAGAAAAAGCAUCGGCUAACUCCGUGCCAGCAGCAGCGGUAAUACGGAGGAUGCGAGCGUUAUCCGGAUUUAUUGGGUUUAAAGGGUGCGUAGGCGGGUUAUCAAGUCAGCGGUAAAGUCGUGGAGCUCAACUCCAUCCAGCCGUUGAAACUGAUGAUCUGGAGUGGGCGAGAAGUAUGCGGAAUGCGUGGUGUAGCGGUGAAAUGCAUAGAUAUCACGCAGAACUCCGAUUGCGAAGGCAGCAUACCGGCGCCCGACUGACGCUGAAGCACGAAAGCGUGGGUAUCGAACAGGAUUAGAUACCCCAGUAGUC
This 459-nucleotide ribosomal RNA is filed under the name uncultured bacterium. RNAcentral's name for it is "partial 16S ribosomal RNA". It matches the Rfam family "Bacterial small subunit ribosomal RNA", at positions 338 to 795 of the family's 1533-position model. The record is from RNAcentral.